Non-coding RNA from Monodelphis domestica (gray short-tailed opossum), 7123 nucleotides. Lineage: Eukaryota; Metazoa; Chordata; Mammalia; Didelphimorphia; Didelphidae. The record is from RefSeq and is a predicted model, not a curated record.
GUUCUCGCGCGGGCGCGGCGGUAAGCCGCGCGCGCCGUCGUCACCCCCUCCCUGCUGCGCGCCUCCAAUCUCCCCACCCCCGACACCCCCUUACCCCCGGCUCGGGUGCGCGCUUCGGGCUCGGGUAAGCGGCGCAAGCCGGGAGGCUGCUCACGUUCGGGCGCGGGGGCGGCUUCGGGGCCUGAGCUGGCGCUGCUGCCGCUACCGCCCAGAGCAGCGGACUGAAGAGGAGGAGGAAGAAGAGGAGGAGGAGGAGGACAACGCUCCACUCGCGCCGCCGCCGGAGAUCCCCCCGGGAAGAUGAUUGAGGAAAGUGGGAAUAAGAGGAAGACCAUGGCAGAGAAGAGGCAGCUGUUUAUGGAAAUGCGUGCUCAGAAUUUUGAUGUCAUCAGGCUAUCAACGUACCGGACAGCUUGCAAACUAAGAUUUGUACAAAAAAGAUGUAAUUUGCACCUUGUUGAUAUCUGGAACAUGAUUGAAGCCUUCCGAGACAAUGGCCUUAACACACUGGACCAUAACACUGAGAUCAGUGUAUCCCGUUUGGAAACUAUCAUUUCAUCUAUCUACUACCAGCUGAACAAACGCCUUCCUUCUACUCACCAGAUCAGUGUGGAACAGUCAAUCAGCCUUCUUCUCAACUUCAUGAUUGCAGCUUAUGACAGUGAGGGCCGAGGAAAGUUGACGGUAUUUUCAGUUAAAGCUAUGUUAGCAACCAUGUGUGGUGGAAAAAUGCUGGACAAAUUAAGAUAUAUUUUCUCUCAGAUGUCAGAUUCCAAUGGCUUAAUGAUAUUUAAUAAGUUUGACCAGUUUCUGAAGGAAGUUUUGAAGCUCCCUACCGCUGUUUUUGAAGGCCCUUCUUUUGGGUAUACAGAGCAUUCAGUACGAACAUGUUUUCCACAACAGAAAAAGAUAAUGCUAAAUAUGUUUUUAGACACAUUGAUGGCUGACCCUCCUCCCCAGUGCCUUGUCUGGCUACCUCUCAUGCAUAGACUUGCCCAUGUUGAAAAUGUCUUCCAUCCUGUGGAGUGUUCAUAUUGCCGGUGUGAGAGUAUGAUGGGUUUUCGCUACCGAUGCCAGCAGUGCCACAACUACCAGCUCUGCCAAAACUGCUUUUGGCGAGGCCAUGCUAAUGGCCCUCAUAGCAACCAACACCAGAUGAAGGAACAUUCCUCUUGGAAAUCACCUGCAAAGAAGCUGAGCCAUGCAAUUAGUAAAUCUCUGGGUUGUGUGCCCACCAGGGAGCCCCCACAUCCUGUUUUUCCUGAGCAACCAGAGAAGCCACUUGACCUUGCACAUAUAGUCCCUCCUCGCCCCCUGACCAACAUGAAUGAUACGAUGGUUAGUCAUAUGUCCUCUGGAGUUCCCACUCCCACCAAAAGGUUACAGUAUAGCCAGGAAAUACCCAGUCACUUGGCUGAUGAGCAUGCACUGAUAGCUUCCUAUGUGUCCCGUCUACAGCACUGUGCACGUGUCCUGGAUAGCCCCAGCCGACUGGAUGAAGAACACAGGCUUAUUGCCCGAUAUGCUGCCCGGCUUGCUGCAGAGGCAGGAAAUGUAACCCGUCCCCCAACUGACCUCAGUUUUAACUUUGAUGCGAAUAAACAGCAAAGGCAGCUCAUUGCAGAACUGGAAAACAAAAACAGAGAAAUCCUUCAAGAGAUUCAGCGCCUCCGCUUGGAGCAUGAGCAAGCUUCUCAACCAACCCCUGAAAAGGCCCAGCAGAACCCUACACUCCUAGCCGAGCUCCGGCUUCUUAGGCAGAGGAAGGAUGAAUUGGAACAGAGAAUGUCUGCACUUCAGGAAAGCAGGAGAGAGCUGAUGGUACAGCUAGAAGGGCUCAUGAAGUUGCUGAAGGCCCAGGCUACAGGAUCCCCACACAUAUCUCCAACUCAUGGAAGUGGCCGCCCAAUGCCCAUGCCAGUCCGCUCGACAUCUGCUGGCUCUACUCCUACUCAUGGGCAGCAGGACUCACUGAGUGGAGUUGGGGGAGACAUACAGGAAGCCUUCGCACAAGGUACAAGGAGAAACCUCCGCAAUGAUCUGCUUGUGGCUGCUGAUUCCAUCACCAACACCAUGUCAUCUCUGGUGAAGGAACUCCAUUCAGCGGAGAAAGGUGGAGUGGAAGAGGAGGAGAAGAUACAGAAUGGGAAAGACAGAGGUAAAGGCAGCUGGGCAGGUUCUCUGGCCUAGAAGAAUGGCCAAGCCAUACAUCUCUCCCUUCUCUGCCUCUGUACUUCUCUUCCUAUCGCCACUUUCCCAAGCCUAUGAUAACCCUAUAUCCACAAGCAUUUAAAUGCUGAGCCUCCUGUGUGACCAUCUAUGAUGCACUAGAUCUUGUUGGGGUGUGAAGGUGCCAGAGGGAAGGCAAGAAUAUCAAAGAAAUAUCAGACAUGGCCUCUCCCUUCGGGCAGUUUAUAAUCUACUCAGAAACAGUACCAGACUACACACACGAAACAAUUAGAGAUCUUUUCAGGGCUCAAUUGUCAUUUUGAUUAUAAGUGCAAACAGAAGUCCAUGUGUACUGGAGUUAUCAAAAGUUAUCAAAAAAAAAAAAUAGAGAAGCUGGUACUCUGACUAGACCUUGAGGGAUGGGUAGAAUUUAGAUGAGUGGAGGAGGAGGAGGGAGGGAAAUCCACAUGGCGACUCAGGAUAUUAGAGUAGUAAAUGUGUUUAAUUGGUAGAAUGGAGCCAGAUUGUGGAAGACCUUGAAAGCCUGGAAGAAAGGUUUGGACUUGAGGCAAAAAGCAAUAAACUAUUACAGUAGAAAAAUAACAGUGUAAGUAAGUACAAUUGUGUCUAUCUGCUCCAUCAUACCUUCUGUCUUUAGAUAUGUGUCCAUCUGCUCCUGUAGUUGGAUAAUUAAUAGAUUAUACUGAUGUCAGUAAUGGCACUACUCAGAUCCUGGUUUUUUUCAAUCUUCUUCUCAAAAUAUCUCAGUGGCCCAUAACCCUUGCACAUAUAUACCUUAAUUCCUCCACACGCUUCCUAAGUAGAUAAACCAGUGGCUAAUAUUCUGUCAGAAGACACAGGGAGUGGUAAGAUGAGGCAUUUUUGACCCUUAGGAGGGCUUAAAUUCCUGAUUAGAUUAGAACCAUAGCUACUGCAAAAUUGACCUGCUCUUCUUACCAAUAUCCAAUAAAUAAGUAGCAAGUUUGGAUAUAGUCAGCUCUUGAUUAUACCCCAAAAUAAGAAGAAACUCUAGUUAUAGAUUAUCCAAAAGUGAAAAGUUCUGUUUAGCUUUGGAAUGUACCUAUUUGUUGCAGUUGAGGUGGUAUUGAAAAAGAAGAGGUAGCUCCAUUGGCAGUUCAGUCAUAGAUGUCUAGCAUGAUUUCAGGGUUGGAUUCUGAGAGAGAGAGAGUAAAUUCAUUACAGAAAACACUUUCCUGGGGACUAGUACAUUCAUGAUUCAAUAGACAUGGCUCCCAGGAUCACAGAAUUAGAACUAAAAAGGAGUUACUCCGCCCUGAGAAAGUGUAACUGGACAAAAAAUGAGAAAUUCUUGGUUUUUGCCCCUUUUUUCUCUUACUUUUCAUGCUGAUCACUAUCCUUGGGCAUGUCACAACUAGAUUACAAUUUACUUAUUACAUUAGUUACCUAUUGGUUUCCAUGUUGAAAUUUGAGAAAUUAGCCUACUCUCAUCAGUAAGCAAACCAUUUCUUAAGUUAGUUUCUUCGGCAGCUUCCAAUAACCUAUAGUUUCUGUUGACUCUUACUUGUUUCUGUUUUAAUAAGUAACAUUUUUUUACAAGAUCCCCAAACUUUGGGUACAAAUCAGAUGUGGAGCCUGUAGCCCAUUUGUAUUCACUGAUUUAAUAUAGCUAUGCCUUGACUUUUGGGAAAUUACAUAUUUAAAAUAUGGCUCAAGGAAGGACAGAAAGUUCUCCAGGUUCCUUAUUUUGUCCUCUAGCUAAGAGCUCUUCUCAGCUCCUUUCUGUGGGUUGUACAUAUUUAAUCUUGACUGGGGCAAAGCCCAGAAGCCCAGGUGGAUUUGCCCUCUCAGUCUGAUAUAAGGGCUAAAGUAUUUUGCUAGUUACUUUUAAGUAGAGUAGGGUGAUUAAUUGAUUCCUUUGAUCACCAUCCUUACCUAAGAAUUCUUAUCUCCACUUUACAUAUGAGAAAGCUGAGAGUUUGAUAGAUUAAGUGACUCGGUUAUGCUCACACAGCAAAUAAGUAUCUGAGACAGAAUUCAAAACUUAAAUCUUUUAAUUACAGAGCUUUUACUGUAUCCACUCUGCCAUAGAGAAGACUAACCUCUGUACAUUCUCUAGAGGCUACCUAGCAGCCUAUCAGGAAAUGUCUCCAGGCAAGAAACAGGACCUGAAGGAACAAGUCUACCUAAAUUUUCUUUUUUCUUCUUUCUAAUGGCCCAUACAACCAGAAAUACUGAAACUGGCAACCCCUGUUUCUCUAGCUUUACCAGUCUUUGCCUGGCCUGUUGCCUUCCCAAGAUUAUUUCUUUAAAGCAACUGCCAAAUUUUUUUCAUAGUACAGAGUCCAAUCAUACAGUUAGCCAGGAGAAGCUGGACCAAAGGGUAGCACAAAGACUCAGAGGACAACAGAACAAGCUGGCAUUGACAUGAUGAAGGCAGAGCCUUCCCCCAGAGGCACCUUCCCAUCCAUCAUCUUUCCAGUGCACACCUGGACCAAGCCUGCAGUCUGCCUGUCACCACAGCACCAGGACUAGGGGAGCCAAUGAUGAUGAGAGGAGGGGAGGGAUUGCCAGAGGGUCCUACUGGUGGGCCCUUCCCUUUCAGAUUCCUGCAUGUACCAGCAUCAUCACCACUCCCCUCAGGGCAUGGUCUCAUCUCUACAACCAGGAAUUUCCCAAGAGGUUUAAAAAGAAAGAAAGAAAAAAGCACUAAUCCUGUGUCAGUGACCUGAUGAGUUUCUUUCUGACUUGCUGCCAAAAGAUGGGUGAUUUCCCCGGGGGGGGGGGGGGGGGGGGGGGAAGGGGGGUCUUCACUGUUUUCCCACAUGACCCUUGACCUUUUAAAAAAUACCAGCAAGUUUUCUUCUAUCACAGAAAGAAAACUUCAGACCCGUGCUCAGUUUUGUAGACACCCAAACCCAGGCCACAUGCUAAAAAUAGACUCUUUCCUCUCAUGAUUGGGUUUCUGCUACAUUUGACAUUGCAUGCUCUGUAACCUGGGAAAGAAAGCUCAACUGCUGCUAUAGCCCCAUACAGUCCUUUCCUAUACCAGGAAUCACGGGCAAGUUUACUGUAGGCCAGGGAGGGUGUAGAUGAGAGCCACGUGUGUCUGUCUGCUUUUCCCUAGAGGCCAUUUGGUGAAGCCAUCUUCUGCCUUUCUUUGUGCUUAGAUAGUUCUUGGCAUACAUGAUAAUCAGUCCCGAUUCUUGGUGAUUUUCUUUUUCCCCCUCCUUUUUGGUCUCCAGUGUGUUAUUUUUAGAAGGGGAGCUGCUAUAAAUAUUUAUAAAGGGCAGUGGCUGGAAUGAAGCACCAGACUCCACAGCUGGCUCCCUGCAUUCUCUCUGCCUCGGCCGACCUCCAGCCUCCGCCUGAACAGAGCCAAGGAAGGCCUGUGAGCGGGGCCCAGGGGCUACAGACGAUUUCCUAUGGAAACAAGUAGGAUCUGUCAGGCAGGAACAGAGCUACUUAGGACAACAGAUUGUUUACAUCUCCUUUAACUCUGUCCUCUCUCCUUUUCCAUGACCCUUAAAGGAAUCUAGGGGUGGAAAUCAUAGUCAACAGACACUUUAAGGCCGAGUCCUCAAGCAUAUCUCUGCAGAUUAGAUACAAGAGGGAAAGGGCUGCAAAAAAGAGCUACAUUAGCUAUUAAGGACCAAGAAGGAAAAUGGGAGAUGAGAGGGAGAGCUGCUUUCACAGGGCUUUGGGGGCUCUUGAAAUGCUAAGUCAGGCAGCACGUGCUCAGGAGAGCAUCAGCUCCAGAAGAGCCCGAUCCAGGUGAGAGAGAGCCCGACGGCUCUGGAGCUGGGAUGUCAGACCUCCAGGGCUCGUCUCUGAGGCUCCCCUGAAGGAAGCUGCCCCUCUUCCUCUUCAAACCAGGUUUAGGAAAGACAGUAAACUGACAGACAGAAGCUUUGAAGGGGAUAACUUUCUUGUCUACCUCAAAGGGUUAUUGACUGGAUCAAGUGAGUUCAUGGAAAAAUACUUGGCAGUAUAUGUUAUAUGACUGUUAGGUAUUGUCACAUUGUGGCAUCUCUUCAGAGGAGCCCAGAGAAUAUUCUUAUCCCAGUUCUUAUGGAGAUUGAAAGCAUAAGUCUCCUUACUAAUGGCUUUAGGAUCAUGUAAAUACCUGCCAGGAGCUGAGUAGCAUUGACUUUGGCAAAAUCACACACUUUCAGCCUUAGAGGAUUUGCUUAAAGAGUAGGGACCCUAGCCCUAGGGGUACCUCUUAGAAUUGAUUAAUUCUAAGACAGAAGAGCACUAAGAGCUAGGCAAUUGAGGUUAAGUGACCUGCCCAGGGUCACAUAGCUAGGAAGAAUCUGAGGCUGGAUUUCAACUCUUCCCCAAUAAUGUUUUGACCACUAAACACUCAUUUCACAGUAUCUCAGUGUCAGAAGAAAUGUUAAAUGUCAUCCAAGCCGAUCUAUCCUGAAGAUCCGAUCCCUUCCAUCCAUCUUCUGCUUAAAGACCUCCAUUAAAAGAACCCACAACCACCCAUUCUGUUCUUGGAGAGCUCCCUUUAAUCAAAGGUUUUUCCUCUGAUAAUAAGAGCUCACAUUAACAUAGCACUUUAAGGGUUACAAAUAGCUUUAAUAUCAUUUGAUUUGAUCCUUACACCAAGCCUAGAUCUGCCUCUGCAGCUUUUAACAGUUGCUCGUGCAUCUGUCAUCUGGCACCAAGAAGAACAAGAUCAGCAUCUCUUCUGUAUGACAGCUCUUCAGUUGUGCCCCCCUUUGCUACCAAGCCUUCUCUUCGGGCUAGUCAUCCUUAGUUCCUUCCACUGAUUCCUAUAUGACAUGAUCUCCAGGCUCCAAAAGAGAGGUUGUGAUUUGCCCAAAGUCACACAAGCAGUGAACUAGCAGAGCUAAGAGUCAAACCCAGGUUCUCCGGCUUUUUCUACUGUACCAUAUUCUCCUCAUUUCCUUUAUGCCAUGGUAGACUCCAAUAAAUCAUCCUCCUUCUCUAUGGAGAACUUUUU